Panicum virgatum (switchgrass) is the source of this 1119-nucleotide long non-coding RNA. RefSeq lists it as uncharacterized. The transcript has 2 exons. The record is from RefSeq and is a predicted model, not a curated record. NCBI's taxonomy places the organism in Eukaryota, Viridiplantae, Streptophyta, Magnoliopsida, Poales, Poaceae.
GAUGCUGCUCAGGCGCUGCCAGGCAGCAUACGACGGCCAUGCGCCCAAGCCCAUGGCUACUGGCUUCCGACGCGGUGCUCUCCCCAGCGCACUGGUCACUCACGGUAUCAUGUAGUCCGUCGCAUACAACCAACUGCAACAAUGCUCACGCCCCCCGACGCUUCCAUUUGCAACCAUACAAAGUUCAGGCCUGCCAAGAGAAAAACAAUCAAAAUUUGCCCAUGUCCCGAUGCAGAUAUCAUGGAAGGUGUCGGUCUUCCCGUCCCGUAGACAGGCGAAAGAUUCACAAAGAUCGCCACAUUCUUGGGUGAUUUGGGUGCAAAUCACCGAUGAUCACACACUGUAUAGUGAAGCAGCUGUGGGGCACAAAAGGAAGACCUGUCGACCGACACUGGACUGUCAUGUCAGGUAGGAGCACUGAAGCUUGUUGCCUGAACUUUCAUGAAAUCUUUGACACAAGGAGAGGGUAACUAGAGGGUUAUUGAAGCUUUGUUGGAUAGUAGAUGGAGUGGAGUGGCAGGGGAAUUUAAGAGUAUAAUCGAUUUUACUAUUUGCUUUUGAGCGCUCUUGUCGUCAAAGGAAGAUGCAUCUUUGGAACAGAGGAGGUUUUCUGCACGUAUGAGGUAGCUUUCGGGUACACUGUUCACCUCCAUCAUAUAAGGCCCGGUCCUGCAAAUGUCGUUGACACUAGAGCUGAUGCAUGAUCCGGACUCCUGGAUCCACCAAUGCCAAUGCAUGCUUAGGCCAGCUCAUACUAGAAGCUCCUUGCUGAUAGCCUGAUGCUGACUUGUCUAGUGGCCAAGAUAAAUUUCACUGGUUUUUCAUCCAGAUUGUAAAAUGCCACAGUUGCCGAAUCGCGCCUUCGAGUUGAAGGCCCGACCUUGUUUGCUCGUACUCUUGUAACUAGAUUUAAGCCAUGCCAAUUAUGAUGUCAAGAGGGAAAUCUGAUCAUGUUCAAGGGGGGAUGCUGAUGCUGCAUCCCAUGUUCAGUCUCACCUACUACUGUACCAUACUCCUAACUUUGAUUCCAGCGUGGUGUACUUUUCUCAGCAAAAUACAAAACAAACCGCGAAUUUGGGGAACAAUGUGAUGUAGAUGUGCAGUGACAAAUCAAAGUAA